CAGCAGCCGCGGGAAAACGGAGGGAGCUAGCGUUGUUCGGAAUUACUGGGCGUAAAGCGCGCGUAGGCGGUUACUCAAGUCAGAGGUGAAAGCCCGGGGCUCAACCCCGGAACUGCCUUUGAAACUAGGUGACUAGAAUCUUGGAGAGGUCAGUGGAAUUCCGAGUGUAGAGGUGAAAUUCGUAGAUAUUCGGAAGAACACCAGUGGCGAAGGCGACUGACUGGACAAGUAUUGACGCUGAGGUGCGAAAGCGUGGGGAGCAAACAGGAUUAGAUACCCGCGUAGUCCCUGUCUCUUAUAC
RNAcentral lists this ribosomal RNA (301 nucleotides) under uncultured bacterium. RNAcentral's name for it is "partial 16S ribosomal RNA". It matches the Rfam family "Bacterial small subunit ribosomal RNA", at positions 509 to 807 of the family's 1533-position model. The record is from RNAcentral.